Molecule: ribosomal RNA, 470 nt
Filed under: uncultured bacterium
Lineage: Bacteria
Description: bacterial SSU rRNA
Rfam family: Bacterial small subunit ribosomal RNA
Source: RNAcentral
GAGUUUGAUCCUGGCUCAGGACGAACGCUGGCGGCGUGCCUAACACAUGCAAGUCGAGCGAGGAGAUUCCCUUCGGGGAUGAACCUAGCGGCGGACGGGUGAGUAACACGUGGGCAACCUGCCUUAUAGAGGGGAAUAGCCUUCCGAAAGGAAGAUUAAUACCGCAUAACAUUGCAUCUUCGCAUGAAGAAGUAAUUAAAGGAGCAAUCCGCUAUAAGAUGGGCCCGCGGCGCAUUAGCUAGUUGGUGAGGUAACGGCUCACCAAGGCGACGAUGCGUAGCCGACCUGAGAGGGUGAUCGGCCACAUUGGGACUGAGACACGGCCCAGACUCCUACGGGAGGCAGCAGUGGGGAAUAUUGCACAAUGGGGGAAACCCUGAUGCAGCAACGCCGCGUGAGUGAUGAAGGUCUUCGGAUCGUAAAGCUCUGUCUUCAGGGACGAUAAUGACGGUACCUGAGGAGGAAGCCAC